Molecule: unclassified non-coding RNA, 309 nt
Filed under: plant metagenome
Description: partial contains 5.8S ribosomal RNA, internal transcribed spacer 2, and large subunit ribosomal RNA
Rfam family: 5.8S ribosomal RNA (bases 1-105)
Source: RNAcentral
GAAAUGCGAUAAGUAGUGUGAAUUGCAGAAUUCAGUGAAUCAUCGAAUCUUUGAACGCACAUUGCGCCCCUUGGUAUUCCAUGGGGCAUGCCUGUUCGAGCGUCAUUUGUACCCUCAAGCUCUGCUUGGUGUUGGGUGUUUGUCCCGUCUCCGCGCGUGGACUCGCCCCAAAGUGAUUGGCAGCCGGCGUACUGGUCCCGGAGCGCAGCACAUGUCGCGCAAACGAGUGCCUUGGUACGGCGGCGUCCAUAAGCCCCUCUCUCACGCUCUUGACCUCGGAUCAGGUAGGGAUACCAGCUGAACUUAAGC